AGCCAUGCGAGUAGAAGAAUUAGAUUCUUUGCGAACUGCUCAGUAACACGUGGCAUAUACCUGCCCUAUGCUCUGGGAUAACCUCGGGAAACUGAGAAUAAUACCGGAUAGAUCACAACGCCUGGAACGGUGUGUGGUUGAAAGAUUACGGCAUAGGAUGGGUCUGCGGCGUAUCAGGUUGUAGGGGGUGUAACGGACCUCCUAGCCAUCGACGCGUACGGGUGUUGGGAGACAUAGCCCGGAGAUGGAUUCUGAGACACGAAUCCAGACCCUACGGGGGUGCAGCAGGCGCGAAAACUUCACCACUGCAGGAAACUGUGAUGAGGGAACUCCAGGUGCCGCGGCACUUAGUUGUGGCGCUUUUUGUUGACUAUUAAUCGGUCAAUGAAUUAAGGGCUGGGGAAAAAACGGGUGCCAGCCGGCGGCGUUAUUCCGGCCAGUUCAGGGGUUGGCGCCUUUCAUUGGGCUUAAACCUUCGUAAGCCUGGUUGGGUAAUCCUGGGUAAACCACCCAGCUUAACGGUGGAAUUCCCAGAGCCGGCCGACUAGGAACCGGAAAGUUGGGGACUCUAAGGGUAGGGUAAAAUCCUGUCACCUUAAGGCACACGUGGAAGGCCACCUGGAACGAUUCACGGUCAGG
This 639-nucleotide ribosomal RNA is filed under the name uncultured archaeon. RNAcentral's name for it is "bacterial SSU rRNA". It matches the Rfam family "Archaeal small subunit ribosomal RNA", at positions 47 to 702 of the family's 1478-position model. The record is from RNAcentral.